Molecule: non-coding RNA, 30 nt
Filed under: Mus musculus (house mouse)
Lineage: Eukaryota; Metazoa; Chordata; Mammalia; Rodentia; Muridae
Source: RNAcentral
UAGUUAAAGAGUAGGCCUGGAAAUCACCCC